CCCGCUCUCGCCUCCGCGCUAGCUCCCUGCUGCUUCGGGGCGGAAGUAGCGGAGCCGGGCUCGGCCCCCUUAAAGGGACAGGGACUGCUGCAACCUACGGGGUGUACUUGGGAACGAGGGGUGAAGCGGCCCAGGUGAGGCUCGCCAUGGCCAAACAGCUGCAGGCCCGAAGGCUAGACGGGAUCGACUACAACCCCUGGGUGGAGUUUGUGAAACUGGCCAGUGAGCAUGACGUCGUGAACUUGGGCCAGGGCUUCCCGGAUUUCCCACCACCAGAAUUUGCCGUGGAAGCCUUUCAGCACGCUGUCAGUGGAGACUUCAUGCUCAACCAGUACACCAAGACAUUUGGUUACCCACCACUGACGAAGAUCCUGGCAAGUUUCUUUGGGAAGCUGCUGGGUCAGGAGAUAGACCCGCUCAGGAAUGUGCUGGUGACUGUUGGUGGCUAUGGGGCCCUGUUCACAGCCUUCCAGGCCCUGGUGGACGAAGGAGACGAGGUGAGUGGGCAAGACUUGGGCUGAGUGGGACUGAGAGGUCAGGGCCAUGCUGACUCCAGCUGAUUUGACCCUUAUAUCAGGUCAUCAUCAUCGAACCCUUUUUUGACUGCUACGAGCCCAUGACAAUGAUGGCAGGGGGUCAUCCUGUGUUUGUGCCCCUGAAGCCGGGUCCCAUCCAGAAUGGAGAACUGGGUUCCAGCAGCAACUGGCAGCUGGACCCCAUGGAGCUGGCCAGCAAAUUCACAUCACGCACCAAAGCCCUGGUCCUCAACACCCCCAACAACCCCCUGGGCAAGGUGUUCUCCAGGGAAGAGCUGGAGCUGGUGGCCAGCCUGUGCCAGCAGCAUGACGUGGUGUGUAUCACUGAUGAAGUCUACCAGUGGAUGGUCUACGACGGGCACCAGCACAUCAGCAUUGUCUCAGCAGCUGUUCUGUUCGGCCUUGGGCAGCCAGCCUCCCUGGCAUGUGGGAACGGACCCUGACCAUCGGCAGCGCCGGCAAGACCUUCAGCGCCACUGGCUGGAAGGUGGGCUGGGUCCUGGGUCCAGAUCACAUCAUGAAGCACCUGCGGACCGUGCACCAGAACUCCGUCUUCCACUGCCCCACGCAGAGCCAGGCUGCAGUAGCCGAGAGCUUUGAGCGGGAGCAGCUGCUCUUCCGCCAACCCAGCAGCUACUUUGUGCAGUUCCCACAGGCCAUGCAGCGCUGCCGUGACCACAUGAUACAUAGCCUACAGUCAGUGGGCCUGAAGCCCAUCAUCCCUCAGGGCAGCUACUUCCUCAUCACAGACAUCUCAGACUUCAGUGAGUGAGACUUGCCGGUCUGGGCAGGGCACAGGGGCUGGAGGCUGCAGGGGGCUCAGUGUGGCCUCUGUCUCCCAGAGAGGAAGAUGCCUGACUUGCCUGGAGCUGUGGAUGAGCCCUAUGACAGACGCUUCGUCAAGUGGAUGAUCAAGAACAAGGGCUUGGUGGCCAUCCCUGUCUCCAUCUUCUAUAGUGUGCCACAUCAGAAGCACUUUGACCACUAUAUCCGCUUCUGUUUUGUGAAGGAUGAAGCCACGCUCCAGGCCAUGGACGAGAAGCUGCGGAAGUGGAAGGUGGAGCUCUAGCCCUGAAGUCACGCCUUGGCCCUGACAUCCCCACAUGCCUGCAGAGAUCCUCUUUGAGUGUCUGUCUUUGUCCAGGUUUCAGACAUUUCUAGGUUGGGGAAGAUGCUAUUGGGAAACCUCUUCUCCGUGACACAGAAUGUUCUGGGUGGGAGCCACCCUUCUUCAUCUUAGAGAACCAAGUGCCUCCUGUCUGAAAGGUGAGGGUGGCCUGACCUGGGCCUCUCCCUGCCCCUCCAUAGGUGGGUUUGUAGGGUCUUGUGUUGCUUCUGGUCUCUCCAGGCUUGGCUGAGACGGACGGUAGACUUCCACCAUGUACCGAUCACAUCCCAGCUCUGCAUGGCCCCUGCUAAGGCUCGGGUAUAACCUCACCUUCCCUGGCUCAUCUUGGCCUUGGGGAGUUGCCUUUAGGCUUGAGUCCUCAAGCCUCUCCUUUUCGUCCAUAAUAAAAUGUUUAAGUUAUUAAGAUCCUUAUUGACGGCUUCUCUCUGCUUCACACUCAUGCUGAUGGCUGAUCUAACUUGUGAAGAAUGCCCAGAAGAACCUCAGACACCCCCACAACUUUGUACAAAUGGUUACUGUAGUCACAUAGUGGCACAACCAGGCCUAGCACCCAAGGCCCUCAAAUGAAUUCCUCACUAUUAA
Molecule: small RNA, 2247 nt
Filed under: Pan troglodytes (chimpanzee)
Lineage: Eukaryota; Metazoa; Chordata; Mammalia; Primates; Hominidae
Description: processed transcript
Source: RNAcentral